Molecule: ribosomal RNA, 356 nt
Filed under: Streptomyces clavuligerus
Lineage: Bacteria; Bacillati; Actinomycetota; Actinomycetes; Kitasatosporales; Streptomycetaceae
Description: bacterial SSU rRNA
Rfam family: Bacterial small subunit ribosomal RNA
Source: RNAcentral
UUAGUGGCGAACGGGUGAGUAACACGUGGGCAAUCUGCCCUGCACUCUGGGACAAGCCCUGGAAACGGGGUCUAAUACCGGAUACCACCCGGGGGCGCAUGCCCUUGGGUUGAAAGCUCCGGCGGUGCAGGAUGAGCCCGCGGCCUAUCAGCUUGUUGGUGGGGUGAUGGCCUACCAAGGCGACGACGGGUAGCCGGCCUGAGAGGGCGACCGGCCACACUGGGACUGAGACACGGCCCAGACUCCUACGGGAGGCAGCAGUGGGGAAUAUUGCACAAUGGGCGAAAGCCUGAUGCAGCGACGCCGCGUGAGGGAUGACGGCCUUCGGGUUGUAAACCUCUUUCAGCAGGGAAGAA